AGCAGCCGCGGUAAUUCCAGCUCCAAUAGCGUAUAUUAAAGUUGUUGCAGUUAAAAAGCUCGUAGUUGAAUUUCGAGAUCAAAUUGUUGGUCGUGCCUUGGUACGCACUGGCAUUAUUGGUUUCUCCCUUCUGACGAACCAUGAUGUCAUUAAUUUGGUGUCUUGGGGAAUCAGGACUGUUACUUUGAAAAAUUAGAGUGUUUAAAGCAGGCUCACGCUUGGAUACAUUAGCAUGGAAUAAUGAAAUAGGACGUUUGAUUCUAUUUUGUUGGUUUCUAGGAUCGACGUAAUGAUUAAUAGGGAUAGUUGGGGGCAUUAGUAUUCAAUUGUCAGAGGUGAAAUUCUUGGAUUUAUUGAAGACUAACUACUGCGAAAGCAUUUGCCAAGGAUGUUUUCAUUAAUCAAGAACGAAAGUUAGGGGAUCGAAGACGAUCAGAUACCGUCGUAGUCUUAACCAUAAACUAUGCCGACUAGGGAUCGGAUGAUGUUAAUUUUUAAUGACUCACUCGGCG
RNAcentral lists this unclassified non-coding RNA (512 nucleotides) under uncultured Glomus. RNAcentral's name for it is "SSU rRNA". It matches the Rfam family "Eukaryotic small subunit ribosomal RNA", at positions 569 to 1085 of the family's 1831-position model. The record is from RNAcentral. Lineage: Eukaryota; Fungi; Glomeromycota; Glomeromycetes; Glomerales; Glomeraceae.